UUGUUUCCGAAGACGACGAAACGCAUUAGUCGACCUUCAGAUUCGCUUAUUGAGCUCUGCGAUUUCCGUUUAAGCAUCGUAAUUUUGGAAGAGUACAUGAAGUCACUCACGGCCACUCCUUCUUUCCUAGCUCCUGUAAAUAUCGCAUCGAAAGAAAGCCAAAAAAUAUCAACGCAUCGAGUUAAACCAUGGCUUCGUGGUGCUCGUCGUCUUCUUCAGCCACUUCCAUCAGCUGCCGCUACUCCUUACAGUGUCACGCUUUCCAAUUGCACAAUCGCCCUUUGCUUCAUGUGAAUGUUUUCCCACCUUCUUUGUCUUCUCGAGCUGCCCCCAUUGCAUCCUUGAUUAGAAUUAAGCUUCCAUUUCUCAGAAACAACUCAUUUAAGCACCGGAAUUCAAGUGGGUUUGGAAGAGUAAUUGUUGGUUGCACUACCAGUGGUACAGAAAUGGACUUGAAGGAUUCACUACGUCCGCCAUCAGAAAUUGAUUGUGUAGGAACAGGGCAAGAUGUUGAGUGCCUACUUGAGCCGGAUCAAGAAAACGGGAAAUCGGUGGAAGUCGAAUCGUUGGGAAUUUCUAUCGAGGGGCUGUUGGAGUGGGCGGUGUUGGUGUCGCCUUUCUUCUUUUGGGGAACGGCUAUGGUGGCCAUGAAGGAGGUGCUUCCUAAAUCUGGACCUUUCUUUGUAUCUGCUUUUCGUUUAAUUCCCGCUGGGUUUCUGCUUGUUGCAUUCGCUGCUUCCCGAGGUCGACCUUUCCCAUCUGGAUUGAACGCUUGGCUGUCCAUCACUCUCUUUGCUAUUGUCGAUGCUACUUGUUUUCAGGGCUUUCUUGCGGAAGGAUUACAAAGGACAUCAGCUGGUUUGGGCAGUGUCAUAAUUGAUUCACAACCUUUGACUGUGGCUGUUCUUGCAGCCUUGUUAUUUGGUGAGUCCAUUGGAAUUGUUGGAGCUGCAGGGCUUCUUUUGGGUGUCAUAGGACUAGUGCUUCUUGAGUUACCUGCACUGUCAUUUGAUGAGAGCAAUUUCUCACUGUGGGGGAGUGGGGAGUGGUGGAUGCUUCUAGCAGCUCAAAGCAUGGCAGUUGGCACAGUCAUGGUUCGUUGGGUCACUAAGUACUCUGAUCCUGUUAUGGCAACUGGAUGGCACAUGGUAAUUGGUGGUCUCCCUCUCGCGGCAAUCUCCAUUCUUAACAAUGAUCCUGCCAUUAGUGGAAAUCUUAAAGAGUUCAGUUCAACUGAUACAUGGGCACUCCUUUACACGUCCAUUUUCGGAAGUGCCGUCAGCUAUGGGGUAUUCUUCUACAGUGCAACUAAGGGUAGCUUGACCAAGCUCAGCUCCCUCACGUUUUUGACCCCUAUGUUCGCUUCCAUUUUUGGGUAACUGGCUAUUUUCCUUGUCCAACUUUACACCAUUUUCACUUUUAUGGUUGUACCAAAUGCCUAUUAACUCAUGCAUAUGGAGCAAGAAACUCAGUAUCGAGGGAUAGAAGAUAUCUUAAGGUUUCUGUAUUUGGGGGAAACCUUCUCACCUCUACAACUAGUUGGGGCCGUUGUUACUUUGGGUGCAAUAUACAUGGUUAACUUCAGAAGCACUUCAAAAUGAAGAAUAUACAGACAUACUCCAUAUUUUACCAGUUCCUUUACACCCGAACAAGAUGUGAAACAAUUGCUUGGCGAACUGGAUGUUUAUCAAGAACUCAUAGUGGAGAUAUGCCAGCAGCAAGGUUAGGUUUGUAAGCUGGACCAGAAAAUUUGAAGCAUCAUCUACAGUUUCUGUGCUUGUCCUUAAGUUCUGUAAAUGUGUUUCAAUUGUUGCUGAAUGGUGAACCUGAUAGAGUCAUAGAUUAAGCUAUUUAAGCCUGUCUAGGCACUAUAUAUGUUGCAUGCUUUUUAAAAAGCUUGAAAUUUACUGCAAGGCUAGAAUCCAAUUCCAAGCCUUAUUUAGGAUAUAGUUGCUUUUGUAAAAUUUUCAUUGUUGUCUAGGAGGAGUUAAAUGCUCUCAUCUGACAGAAGUAAUAACAGUGUAUAGAACAUUAUUGGUAGAAUCCCAAUCUACCAUAUCAAUGCAUAUGGAUUUUCCCAGUUA
Prosopis cineraria is the source of this 2084-nucleotide RNA transcript. It is a transcript of the gene named WAT1-related protein At3g02690, chloroplastic, with no coding region annotated. Lineage: Eukaryota; Viridiplantae; Streptophyta; Magnoliopsida; Fabales; Fabaceae. The record is from RefSeq and is a predicted model, not a curated record. The transcript has 7 exons.